RNAcentral lists this ribosomal RNA (460 nucleotides) under uncultured bacterium. Its description in RNAcentral is "partial 16S ribosomal RNA". It matches the Rfam family "Bacterial small subunit ribosomal RNA", at positions 338 to 795 of the family's 1533-position model. The record is from RNAcentral.
CCUACGGGUGGCAGCAGUGAGGAAUAUUGGUCAAUGGACGAGAGUCUGAACCAGCCAAGUAGCGUGAAGGAUGACUGCCCUAUGGGUUGUAAACUUCUUUUAUAUGGGAAUAAAACGUUCCACGUGUGGGAUUUUGUAUGUACCAUAUGAAUAAGGAUCGGCUAACUCCGUGCCAGCAGCCGCGGUAAUACGGAGGAACCGAGCGUUAUCCGGAUUUAUUGGGUUUAAAGGGAGCGUAGGUGGAUUGUUAAGUCAGUUGUGAAAGUUUGCGGCUCAACCGUAAAAUUGCAGUUGAAACUGGCAGUCUUGAGUACAGUAGAGGUGGGCGGAAUUCGUGGUGUAGCGGUGAAAUGCGUAGAUAUCACGAAGAACUCCGAUUGCGAAGGCAGUUCACUGGACUGCAACUGACAUUGAGGCUCGAAAGUGUGGGUAUCAAACAGGAUUAGAUACCCUAGUAGUC